UCCUCAGUGGGGAUUUAUAUUUGUUCAUAAAAUGUGGGAUUCAUGUUAGAACUUUUCAUUUUAUUUCAAAACCUUUCAAAAAUUAACAAUAAUUUGAAGCCACCCGAACGGAAUUGACUCUUAGGACCCCAUAGGGGUUCUGGACCCCCUGUUGAAGAUCCCUGCUCUGAUGGAUUG
This is a long non-coding RNA of Etheostoma spectabile (orangethroat darter), 177 nucleotides long. RefSeq lists it as uncharacterized. The transcript is spliced from 3 exons. The record is from RefSeq and is a predicted model, not a curated record. Lineage: Eukaryota; Metazoa; Chordata; Actinopteri; Perciformes; Percidae.